This 464-nucleotide ribosomal RNA is filed under the name uncultured bacterium. RNAcentral's name for it is "partial 16S ribosomal RNA". It matches the Rfam family "Bacterial small subunit ribosomal RNA", at positions 339 to 795 of the family's 1533-position model. The record is from RNAcentral.
CUACGGGCCGCAGCAGUGGGGAAUAUUGCACAAUGGGCGCAAGCCUGAUGCAGCCAUGCCGCGUGUAUGAAAAAGGCCUUCGGGUUGUAAAGUACUUUCAGCGGGGAGGAAGGGAGUAAAGUUAAUACCUUUGCUCAUUGACGUUACCCGCAGAAGAAGCACCGGCUAACUCCGUGCCAGCAGCCGCGGUAAUACGGAGGGUGCAAGCGUUAAUCGGAAUUACUGGGCGUAAAGCGCACGCAGGCGGUUUGUUAAGUCCGAUGUGAAAUCCCCGGGCUCAACCUGGGAACUGCAUCUGAUACUGGCAAGCUUGAGUCUCGUAGAGGGGGGUAGAAUUCCAGGUGUAGCGGUGAAAUGCGUAGAGAUCUGGAGGAAUACCGGUGGCGAAGGCGGCCCCCUGGACGAAGACUGACGCUCAGGUGUGAAAGCGUGGGGAGCAAACAGGAUUAGAUACCCUUGUAGUC